RNAcentral lists this transfer RNA (91 nucleotides) under Exiguobacterium sp. Its description in RNAcentral is "tRNA-Ser". It matches the Rfam family "tRNA". From Rfam's summary of the family: Transfer RNA (tRNA) molecules are approximately 80 nucleotides in length. Their secondary structure includes four short double-helical elements and three loops (D, anti-codon, and T loops). RNAcentral also lists the same sequence under 23 other names. Lineage: Bacteria; Bacillati; Bacillota; Bacilli; Caryophanales. The record is from RNAcentral.
GGAGGUGUACCCAAGUGGUUUAAGGGAACGGUCUUGAAAACCGUCAGGGGUGUAACAGCCUGCGUGGGUUCGAAUCCCACCACCUCCUCCA